Molecule: long non-coding RNA, 725 nt
Filed under: Heterocephalus glaber (naked mole-rat)
Lineage: Eukaryota; Metazoa; Chordata; Mammalia; Rodentia; Bathyergidae
Description: lncRNA (ENSHGLG00100036822.1)
Source: RNAcentral
ACAAAACACCAAUGAUAUGUAAAGACUUCCUAUAAAUUGUCAUCUCAAGAGAGGAAGUCCAUAUCUGUUCCCUACUCAUCGGCCACUUUGGUGGAGCAGUUUGACUUACCAAGCCUGUUGCUUUGCAUUUUAUCUAGAACCUCCGGACCCACUACAUCAGUGAAAGUAAUGAACACCUGGGAAGAACUGGCAUAGGGGUAUGCCUGGUCCACAACACAUACAGAGGCAGAGAAAAGAAGACGAUGACUAGAAGUUUAUUUUAGAGGCAAUGUGACAAAACACCAGUUGUGGAAGGAGAAGCAAGACAAAGAAGAAAAGGCAGUAACAGAAGCUCUGUAGACUGUCUGCAAAAUAAUGAUGAAGAAGAUAAUGACUAGGAUGAGCAUGAGGAUUAUUUGGAUCAUCUAUUGCUUUAUAACAAAUUGCACCAAACCUAUAAGAACUCAGUAGCAACUACAGGGUGAGUAGCUCUUACCUGAAAUGUUAAGGACAAGAAGUGAUUGAGAAUUUUGGCUUUUUUUCAGCUUUGGGAAUAUUUGCAUGCACAUAAUGAGACAUGCUGGGGAUGGGACUCGAGACCCUGCAUUUCUGUCACAUACUCCUUAUUCACAUAAACUGAAUUUUAUACAAUACUUUCAAUAACUGAAUACACAAAAAAUAAUCUUAUGGCAUAGAAGUUUCUACCUGUGGCACCAUGUCAGUGCUAAAAAAGUGUUAGGUUUUGG